Heterocephalus glaber (naked mole-rat) is the source of this 5625-nucleotide long non-coding RNA. The record is from Ensembl. NCBI's taxonomy places the organism in Eukaryota, Metazoa, Chordata, Mammalia, Rodentia, Bathyergidae.
CACAGCGAGGGUUAAGAACGGCCUCAUCUCGUGAUUCUCAACCUUGGCUGCAUACCCGAGUAUAAAACCUAUAGGAGACCAGAGCGCCUCCAGCAGCAGGACGAGUUGUUGCUUCUGAAGGCGCCGAUUGAAAACAAUGUACUUUGAGAAAGUCCUAGAUUCAGGCGGCCGAGGCCACGAAUCUGCAUUUUCCUACAGCGCGGUUCCGCCCCCGCUCCAGGAAGGUGGCGCGCGGGGCCGCGAGGGCACAGGCCCCGCCCACCAGGCGACAGGCGCUGACCCCCGGGGUUUGGCCUAAUUGGAGUUCGUGCUCAGGCUAGCUGGGACCUUCGUGAGACCCGGGGGGUUACCCUUCCUUGCAAGAUAUUAACGACACCCAACCGGGAGCAAGAAAGCCACCUACAUCUCCCGGGUGUUUACUUCCUUAAAUUGGGAGUUACUUAAGACGGCUGCGCCCCGAGCUUGCCCGAACCUGAGAAUCACGUGGGAGCCCUGUUCAACAGCCAGCCAGGCACAUUUUUGCCAUUGUGACAAUGCUGCUGGGACCAUGGUCCUUCUAACAAGUGUCGUGGUUCCUGUUGAGUUAAUGCACAUGGCCAGUGGGGUAUCAAACUUGGAACCUUGCGCUUGUGAGGCAGGCGUGGGAACUACUAAGCUAAAUCCCAGCCCAAUCCUGGCUUUUAAAAAGUGGUUACCAGAAAGACAUAGAUAAAAGUACACAAUAGCGUUGUCUGGAAUUGUGCUGGGCCUUCCUCCCUGCUGGAGUCCUCUCCCUGUGAGCUACUUCAUGAUAUCUAGGUUGCUUCUGCUGCUCUCCACUGUGAAUACAGAAGUACAAAAAUCCAUGUUUAUCCAGCUACGAAUGACUCCCCAAAGAGUAGCGGGGAUCAAACUCGGGACCUUUCGCCUGCAAGGCAGGUGGUGGAACCACUGACCUAAAUCCUGGCCCUCAUCUGAACCCAUUUUGAGCCCACACUUGCCUCACUCAGCUCCACAUGCUGGAGAUAUGAAUGAAGUCCGAGCCAGACUGGACUCAGCCAGUGAAUGAAUAGCACACAAGGCCAUUCAGAGAGGUGGGUGCCAGGAUCACAGCAGCAUGGAGAGAUGUGAUAGAGGGAGGAUAUUUGUGGGCUACUGAGUUUGGCCAGAAGUGACCGAAACAUGAACAUCAUAGCCAACCUUGGGAAGAACCAUGGGAGGACACUGCUGGAGGAAGGACUGUCAACACCCAAGACCCUAAAGUACAACCACUUUGGUGCCUUUGAAGCUAAGCAAAGAGAUUCAGUGACUAGAUAGUUCCUAGAAAAGAGAAAUAUGACACCCGAAAUUUUGAACAAAAAAAGAAAGAAAGAAAAAGGAGCCAAGCAUGGUGGGACACUGCUAUAAUCCCAGCUACUCAGGAGGCUGAGGCAGAGGAUUACAAGUUCAAGUCUUGCCUGGACAAUUUAGCAAGACCCUAAUAAAAAGGGCUGGAGAUGUAGCUCAGCAGUAGAGCACUUGCCUAGUUUCACCAGGCUCUGGGUUCCAUUCAUAACAAUGGAGAAAAAAAAUUGAAAAAAUGUUCUGACCCAUUUAAGGUUAAUUAAAUAUAAGCUAAAUUGAAAUACUGUUUUCCACUUUUCUUUUUUUUUUUCCACUUUUCUGAAUAGAAGAUUAAACAUACUGAGCAGAGCUCAGUCAUUCCACAUUUGCACUAUGCUUCUCAAACUUGCAGUGCAUAAGAAUCACUUAGGAUUUUAACUUAAAAAGCAGAUUCUGGUUCCAGUGUGUCUCAAAAGGUAGUGUGUAGACAGAUCACUGAGGGGGCCUUGCUAAAAAACAGAUCCUGAGUUCAAUGCUUAUCGAUCUUUAAUGUGCAGGAGAAUCACCUGGGGAACUUGUUAAACGUAGAUUCUGGGAAAAAACCAAAAGGAGAUCUUCAACUUAAUUAAGUAUAAGAGAAUACAAAUUAAAGCAACGUGAUUUCCUUUUUUUCUUUUCACAGAUCAGAUCAAUAAAGAUUAGGAACAUGUAUUGCAUCUACUGUUAGCAAAAGUAGAGAGACUGGUUUUCUAAUGCAUUGGUAGUGGGGAUGCAAGCAUUCAUAUGCAGUCACUCUGGAGGGUGAUUCAGCCAUGCAGUUUUUUUUUUUUUGGUACCAGGGUUUGAACUCAGGACCUUGCGCUUGCUAGGCAUGUGGUGGAACCACUGAGCUAAACCCCCGGCCCACGGCCAUACAGUUUUAACUUUACUCUGCCAUCUGUCUCUUCUCCUUCAGAGACACAUUUGGACAGGCACACACGGGGUAAUUAAUGUCCAAAGGUGUCUGUUCCCACACCUGAGAACCUACGUGCCCAACAAUAGUGGAGUGGCUGCAUUAAACCGAGGUUGGUUGUCUCAGGGAAUACAGGGCAAAAGGUGAAAAUUAUCAGUCAGAUUUAUGAAUACAGACUUGGCUAGAGCUUUAGGAUGUGGUGCAUUAAAGAAAAACAAGUUCCACAUAGAUACACAGAGGUAAACAUGUCUGAAUCUAGGCAUGUUGGGGCUGGAGUGGACAGCUCACGGUAGAGUGCAUGUUCAGCAAGCAGGAGGCUGGGGGUGUGAUCUUCAGUGCCAAAAGAAAAACUCUGUAAUUUCUAUGGUGAAAUAUAUAUAUGUAAAUCCACAGAAGAAUACUGUACUGGAAGAAUAUAUACUAGGUGCAUUUUAAGCAAGGCAGGGAGUUAUUUGGGGAAUGAAGAUUGGAAAACCUAAAUUUUGUAUGUGUGAAAGAGAAUACUAUCCUGGGCAAUGUUUAUUUUUUAGGGGAGGGGGUCCUGGAGAUUGAAGGGCCUUCUCACUAAGCUACAUCUCCAGAACCUUCUAUUUUUUUCUAAUUUUGAGACAGGGUCUUGCUAAGUCCUCUAAGACUUGAAUUUGCAAUCCUCCUGCCUCAGCCUCCUCAAGUGCUGGGAUUACAGGUGCACACCACUACAGCUUCUGGUGGUAACAAUUCUUUUAAAAAGUAGAGGGUGUACUACUUUAUAGUUAAAAAGUAAUAACUAAAACCAAUAACUAAAUCAUGGUACUUUCAUACAAAUGGAAUAAAGUCCAUGUAACCCCAACAAAAGAAAUUUUAAUACUAGUUUUGUUUUAUACACACACACACACCAAGACUUGAGCUUGUGAGUGCACAGGAGGCCAGGAAACUGGUAAUGUGAGUUGUCCCGGGGAUGAAGACAGAAGUAUCUGCCAUGAGACUGAGUGACUGACAUCUUGCUAUGGAUCCUUUCACAAGCUUUGCAGUUUUAAAAAUUUAAAUCAUAAAACCUGGACUACAGACAAGAAUGUGUAAAAACACAGUUGUGCAAUUUACAGGAUAAAACAAACACCUUUGUGGCCACCACCAGUGUAAGAUGUGGCAGGCCGCAGGAAUCCAUCAUCAGCUCCAAGUCCCUGGCUGCCCCUUCCUUCCCCUCUCUCCCGCUAUGUCUCAUUUGGUAUCAUUGUUAUCUACAAAUUUUGCCACCUAAAUAAUCUAGUGUGUAGUUUUGCCUCUUUUUGUUUUUCAACUUUGGGUAUUUUUUCCCUCCCUUUUUGUCUUUUAAGUCUUUGAGAUCCAACAUGUUGCUGCAGGCAGCUGAAGUCUGUUUAUUUUCACUCUCGCAUAAUCCUGUGCAUACACCACACUGUACACCUCCUGCCAAAAGGCUGACUCCUGCUCGGUAAUUAUGAGCAAUGUAGCCGUAUGCACUCUUGUACAGGCAUCCUGAUUCACGUGUGUACCUUUCUCUAUAUCCAGAAUCUGCAUUUGACAAGUCCCCCAGGUGAUUCUUCUGCACAUUAAACUUUGAGAAGCACUGAAAUCAGCCUCUGCCUUUUAACAAGGUCCCGGGGGAUUCUUACACACUUCGAGUUUCUACGUAGGUGUAGAGGAGCUGAGGCAUGGUGCAUACAUACUCACACCCUAGCAAAUGCUAUCUUCCAAAGUGGCUUUGUCAGUUCACAUUCGCACCCGCACAUAUUACUUUUUAAAUUAAAAAGAAAUUGGUAAAAAGUCACCAAGGCACGGUCUUGUGGAAAAGGGGGUGUGACCGCUACACAGACCCUAACUGCCUCCUCUUUCCUGUUUUCACGCCCUCGCCCGCCCCUCAUGGGUUAGGUCUGAAAUGAAAUUCUACAGAAGAGGGUUCUGUUUACACAACAGUGGGGAUCAGGACACCCUGUUUCUGGGGGCUAGGAGUGGAAGCCAGGGUUGCACACACUCUAGGCAAGUGUUUCACCACCGAGCUCCGUCCCCAGCGCAUCCCCUUUCUUUAUUGAUAGAACAGCCUCCCGUGCACCUGCUGGACCAUAGGGGCUUGGAAGUCCCUCCACUGUAAAGGCAUGUUGUCCAGAACAGACUGCCGCACUUCCGGCCCCAGGGCAGUUCGUGGCCAUGCGCGACCGGCGCGUGGUCAGUUGUCUCACCUACGUUUGCGAAGAAUGAGUUUCCCAUCCUGUGUGGCAACAGUGAAAUUGCACAAACGGUCAUCUGCACAUUCUGUUAGUGUCUCUCCCUCUUGGGAAGCACCGUGCGCCCCCACCCCCGACGUUUUCUCCUAGGGCCACCUCCAAGCCAUUCGUUUGUUCACCAAGGAUGAGUUGGGUUCCCACGGAGUGCAAGGGUGUGCUAACCUCUGGGAAUGCAGCUGCAAGUCUCUAAGGAAGGUGCCGAGCAAAAAGGGACAGAAGGCCGGAAUGUUUGUGUUCCUGCUGAACCUUAACCUCCAUGGUGAUAGUACUAAGGGGUGCGGCUCUUGGAGGUGCUGAGGUCUUAAGGAUGGAGCCUUCCUGAACGAGAUUCCUGCUCCUGUUAGAGAGGGCAGUGAGCGGCCUUGGCCUUGCACCAGGUGGGAUGCAGCUAGAAGGUGCCAUCUAUGAGAAAAUGGGUCUUCCCCAGACACAGACUGCUCUGCUGCCUCAUCUUGGACUUUCUAGUCUCCCAGGUCAUAAGCAAUGAUUUCUGUUGUCUAUAAGCCAUGCAGGCUAUGGCACUUUGUCACAGCAGCCUGAAUGGACAAAGACACCUGCUUUCCUCCUACUAAACCUUAGCCACACACAGCUUGCAGGGUGGUUCUGGAAGAUACUCAAUGGCUCCUGGACUGUGAAGCAGCCAAGCCAACAACAGCAGAGGAGGUGGCCAGGACAAUGUGGAUGGAAAGAGUGGACAUUCACACCUGGCACGCCACAUGCCAAGGGCUACAUUAGAACACAUCACAUAUGUGUUUAUCUGACCGGAAUCUGGCUCCCUUAACCACUGUGAGCCUGUUCCCUCAUGUGUAAAAUGAGAAUGAUAAUCCUACUCACCUACUGACCUUGAAUGGUUUUUGUGAGUAUUAAAAGGAAAUGCACGUGAAGGGCUUGAGAAAAAGUAAAUAAUCAAGAGAAUUAGUUAUCAUUAUUGUUAUUGGCAGUCAGCUACCAACUGCUCUUUAAAAUAUAAUCAGAAUUAUUUUUAUUGCUUUUAUUGAACACAUACAUUGUUCUAAGCAUGCUGGAGAUGCACUGGUGAGGAGACAGAGGGCCUUGAUUGGAACACUUGGCCAUGGCUUUUGUAGAAGGCCUUAAUAUGAUUCCAUCUUUAGUUGAAUUGUUUUGGGUCCUUCAACAGAGACCAGAAACUGG